Betta splendens (Siamese fighting fish) is the source of this 163-nucleotide small nuclear RNA. Its record names the gene U1. It matches the Rfam family "U1 spliceosomal RNA". From Rfam's summary of the family: U1 is a small nuclear RNA (snRNA) component of the spliceosome (involved in pre-mRNA splicing). Its 5' end forms complementary base pairs with the 5' splice junction, thus defining the 5' donor site of an intron. There are significant differences in sequence and secondary structure between metazoan and yeast U1 snRNAs, the latter being much longer (568 nucleotides as compared to 164 nucleotides in human). Lineage: Eukaryota; Metazoa; Chordata; Actinopteri; Anabantiformes; Osphronemidae. The record is from Ensembl.
AUACUUACCUGGCAGGGGAGAUACCAUGAUCAUGUAGGUGGUUCACCCAGGGCGAGGCUCAGCCAUUGCACUGAGGCUGUCUGACCUCUGCGAAUUCCCCAAAUGUGGGAAUCUCGACUGCAUAAUUUCUGGUAGUGGGGGACUGCGUUCGCGCUCUCCCCUG